This 429-nucleotide unclassified non-coding RNA is filed under the name Hevea brasiliensis (rubber tree). Lineage: Eukaryota; Viridiplantae; Streptophyta; Magnoliopsida; Malpighiales; Euphorbiaceae. The record is from RNAcentral.
GUAAGUUGGAUUAUGCAACCAUUCAUGCGGAAUGCUAGGUUAAAAGUUCUCCAAUGUUCGCAAGAAAAUGUGGCCAUAAUUUCUUGGCGAUUGGAGAAUGCAAGUAAAACCAAUCACAUGGAAAGGCCACAGCAGUAGCCAGAAUUGAGAGACUAGUAGAACUUAACCGAACAGUCACUACUCUUUAGCCGAAUCAGAAGAGGCCAAAGGAGCAAUCACAUGAAGUGUGAGGGUGGGGCCACAGAAAGCGCAAGAAACCAUUUGUUAAGUUAGAUGGGGCGGCAAAGCUAAGUUAAAUUAACACUCACUCCUCUCAAAACUCUCAAUGGUCAAUACCCGCAUAUCCCAUAAAUACCCCCCUCCACUUCCACACUUCCCACUACAAUAAUCAACAUCUCUUAGCUCAGUCGUCUCUUUCCUUUCUCUUGC